GACGAACGCUGGCGGCGUGCUUAACACAUGCAAGUCGAACGAAAGGCCCUGCUUUUGUGGGGUGCUCGGGUGGCGAACGGGGGAGUAACAAGUGAGUAACCUGCCCUUUACUUUGGGAUGACUUCAGGAAACUGGGGCUAAUACCGGCGAGGAGCUCCUGCUACCUGGUGGGGGUUGGAAAGAUUCGGCGGUUGGGGAUGGACUCGCGGCUUAUCAGCUUGUUUGUGGGGUAGUGGCUUACCACGGCUUUGACGGGUAGCCGGCCUGAGAGGGUGACCGGCCACAUUGGGACUGAGAUACGGCCCAGACUCCUACGGGAGGCAGCAGUGGGGAAUAUUGCACAAUGGGCGGAAGCCUGAUGCAGCAACGCCGCGUGCGGGAUGACGGCCUUCGGGUUGUAAACCGCUUUCGCCUGUGACGAAGCGUGAGUGACGGUAAUGGGUAAAGAAGCACCGGCUAACUACGUG
Molecule: ribosomal RNA, 467 nt
Filed under: uncultured bacterium
Lineage: Bacteria
Description: partial 16S ribosomal RNA
Rfam family: Bacterial small subunit ribosomal RNA
Source: RNAcentral